This 933-nucleotide ribosomal RNA is filed under the name Acremonium polychromum. RNAcentral's name for it is "partial large subunit ribosomal RNA". It matches the Rfam family "Eukaryotic large subunit ribosomal RNA", at positions 38 to 1393 of the family's 3401-position model. The record is from RNAcentral. Lineage: Eukaryota; Fungi; Ascomycota; Sordariomycetes; Hypocreales; Bionectriaceae.
GCAUAUCAAUAAGCGGAGGAAAAAGAAACCAACAGGGGAUUGCCUCAGUAACGGCGAAGUGAAGCGGCAACAGCUCAAAUUUGAAAUCUGGCCUCUGGCCCGAGUUGUAAUUUGCAGAGGAUGUUUCUGGCGAGGUGCCUUCCGAGUUCCCUGGAACGGGACGCCAUAGAGGGUGAGAGCCCCGUACGGUUGGUCGCUAAGCCUCUGUGAAACUCCUUCGACGAGUCGAGUAGUUUGGGAAUGCUGCUCUAAAUGGGAGGUGUACGCCUUCUUAAGCUAAAUACAGGCUAGAGACCGAUAGCGCACAAGUAGAGUGAUCGAAAGAUGAAAAGCACUUUGAAAAGAGAGUUAAAUAGCACGUGAAAUUGUUGAAAGGGAAGCGCUCUUGACCAGACUUGCGCCGGUUGAUCAUCCACCGUUCUCGGUGGUGCACUCUGCCGGCUCAGGCCAGCAUCAGUUCGGCCCGGGGGACAAAGGCUUCGGGAAUGUGGCUCUCUCCGGGGAGUGUUAUAGCCCGUUGCGUAAUACCCUGGGCUGGACUGAGGUUCGCGCAUCUGCAUGGAUGCUGGCGUAAUGGUCAUCAGUGACCCGUCUUGAAACACGGACCAAGGAGUCGUCUUCGUAUGCGAGUGUUCGGGUGUCAAACCCCUACGCGUAAUGAAAGUGAACGUAGGAGAGAGCUUCGGCGCAUCUCCGACCGAUCCUGAUGUUCUCGGAUGGAUUUGAGUAAGAGCAUACGGGGCCGGACCCGAAAGAAGGUGAACUAUGCCUGUAUAGGGUGAAGCCAGAGGAAACUCUGGUGGAGGCUCGCAGCGGUUCUGACGUGCAAAUCGAUCGUCAAAUAUGGGGCAUGGGGGGCGAAAGACUAUCGAACCUUCUAGUAGCUGGUUUCCGCGCCCCCCCCCCCCGACAAAAAAAAAAAAACUGGGGGUA